Molecule: ribosomal RNA, 1430 nt
Filed under: metagenome
Description: bacterial SSU rRNA
Rfam family: Archaeal small subunit ribosomal RNA
Source: RNAcentral
UCCGGUUGAUCCCGCCGGAGGUCACUGCUAUCUGAAUCCGACUAAGCUAUGCAAGUCUUCUCGAAAGGGAGGCGAACAGCUCAGUAAUACAUAGUUAAUUUGCCCUUAGGUCAGGAAUAAUCCCGAGAAAUUGGGUUCAAUACCUGAUAGGUAAAGAGUCCUGGAAUGGUUCUUUAUCCAAAGUUUCGGCGCCUAAGGAUAAGACUGUGUCCCAUCAGGUUGUUGGGAGGGUAACGUCCUCUCAAGCCUAUAACGGGUACGAGCCUUGAGAGAGGGAGCUCGGAGAUGGAUUCUGAGACAAAAAUCCAGGUCCUACGGGGUGCAGCAAGCGCGAAAAUUCCACAAUGCACGAAAGUGUGAUGGAGGGAUUCAGAGUGCUUCUUUCAUUUCGGAAGGAGCUUUUGUUAAGUCUAAACCGCUUAUCGAAUAAGCGGUGGGUAAGACAGGUGCCAGCCGCCGCGGUAAUACCUGCGCCGCAAGUGGUGACCUCGUUUAUUGGGUUUAAAGUGUCCGUAGCCGGUUUGGUAAGUUUCUAAUGAAAUUCCAUGGACAACUAUGGAGAUUGUUGGGGAUACUACUAGACUAGAGACCGGGAGAGGCCAAGGGUAUUUCUGGGGUAAGGGUUAAAUCUUGUAAUCCUAGGAGGACCGCCUGUGGCGAAGGCGCUUGGCUAGAACGGAUCUGACGGUGAGGGACGAAAGCUAGGGGAGCGAAGCGGAUUAGAUACCCGCGUAGUCCUAGCCGUAAACGAUAUCCACUAGAUGUUGGAUGUCUCACGAGGGCAUCCAGUUUCGUAGGGAAACUGUUAAGUGGAUCGCCUGGGGAGUACGGUCGCAAGUCUGAAACUUAAGGGAAUUGGCGGGGGAGCACACAAGGGGUGGAGGCUGCGGUUUAAUUCGAUUCAACGCGAGGAACCUCACCAGAAGCGACAGCAGAAUGAAGGUCAGGCUGAUGGUCUUACCAGACACGCUGAGCGGAGCUGCAUGGCCGUCGUCAGUUCGUGUUGUGAAGUGUCCUGUUAAGUCAGGUAACGAACGAGACCCGUGCCCUACGUUACUACUGUCACAUCCGUGGCAGGUACUCAUAGGGGACCGCUUGCGAUAAGUAAGAGGAAGGAACGGUCAACGGCAGGUCAGUAUGGUCUUAAUCUUCUGGGUUACACGCGGCCUACAACGGUUGGGACAAUGAGAUGUGACUCCGAAAGGAGAAACUAAUCUCCAAACCCAAUCAUAGUUCGGAUUGAGGGCUGCAACUCGCCCUCAUGAAGCCGAAAUCCCUAGUAAUCGCUUGUCACCAUCCAGCGGUGAAUAUGUUCCUGCUCCUUGCACACACUGCCCGUCAAGCCAACUGAGUGGGGUUUUGGCGAGGCUCUGGCAUUUUGCUAGAUCCAAGCCACGGUUCUGCAAAGUGGGCUAAGUCGUAACAAGGUA